AAUAUAUUUUAGACCUAGUGGAGUAAUAGUAAUGAUAGUAUCUCUAAAUUGGAAUAUAUAUAUUGUACGUUUUAAUGGAUCACGCUACAAACAUAAUGAUCUUAUAAUACAUGUUGCAUUGCUGUGUUCGUUAUCGCAUAAUUCCCACUUUUGGACACUUUUGCUUUAACGGACAUUAGACAACACUGCAAAAUCAAGCUGUUAUAUUCAUAUAUUUAUUGUCCAACAUUCCCAAUUUUUCUUAUGCAUGUCCUUAAUUUAAUUUCCUGUGUUGUAUUAAUUAAGUGUUUAUAAUGCUAAUACUUGAACUUCAAAGAAUUUUAACCCAAAAUGGACUGGGUUUCUAGAGAGCAAAGGUUUUGUGAAAAAAGUGGAAGACUUGAACACAACGUGUAAAUAAACUGUAAAAAGGAUUUGAUGAUCACUAGUGAUAGUAUUUUAUUCUGUGUUGUCAUCAUUCAGGUUCGAUUUCAGCUUUAAUGUACGUUUUUUUUUUUAACAAAGCAACUUAUAUUACCAUAGAAACUAGUGGACUGCCGACUCGCUUUCACCCCAAAAUGGCGGAAACGCAGGGCUGCUGCUGGGCGCCGGUGUUGUAAUGGAACGUUCUAUUGAGUGUCGCUUCUUGUUAGUGUAUAUUCUUUGAUUGUAAUGAGAAACGUGAAGCUUUCAUGACGUUCUCGCGGGAGAUUCACGUGAAACUCGCGCGAGAACUGCCGUCUCUGUUAUUCUGUCUUGUUUGUUUAUCAUUAUCAUUAUCUGUUAUUCUGUGUAUUUUGUUGUGAGCAUUAAUAAAAAAAAACUAAAAAAAAAAAAAAAUAAAAAAAAAAAAAAAAACUGACGGCAUCCGACAUCUGCGUGACUUUUCGCUUGAGUUCUCGGCAGGCUUACGUCACGCUUCAAGUUACAUCAAGCAUGAACUCUCAACCCUCUCAUGCACGCGCAAGUGACAGUCGGUCGAAAGUUUAAAAUUUAAAAAUAUUUGGUACUUUUCUUACAAAUACGUAUCGUUUCACUUCAGAAGACAUUGAUUCAUCCGUUGGGGUCGUAUGGAUUACAGUUGUUAUUGCUGUAUGUGCUGUUUGAUGCUUCGACUUUUAGGAACACAUGAGCUUGCAUUAUAAAGCGUUCCCAGAGAUUAUUUAUUUUUCUAAAAACUUUUGUUUGUGUUCAUCUUAAGAAGGAAAGUCGUAUCUCAGAUGGCAUGAGGGUAAAAGAUGAGUAAACGAUUCAUCGGUGGAAAGAAAGAAAAAGAAGAAGAGGAUCAAGAGGAGGAGGAAGCCAGGCAAGAGAAACGAAUAAGAAGUGUUGUAACUUUAAAUCUGUUUUGAAACAAGUUGUUUUUCAAAUAAAGGUUUCCAAGUGAUA
Ctenopharyngodon idella (grass carp) is the source of this 1368-nucleotide long non-coding RNA. RefSeq lists it as uncharacterized. The transcript has 2 exons. Lineage: Eukaryota; Metazoa; Chordata; Actinopteri; Cypriniformes; Xenocyprididae. The record is from RefSeq and is a predicted model, not a curated record.